RNAcentral lists this ribosomal RNA (467 nucleotides) under uncultured bacterium. RNAcentral describes it as "bacterial SSU rRNA". It matches the Rfam family "Bacterial small subunit ribosomal RNA", at positions 355 to 825 of the family's 1533-position model. The record is from RNAcentral.
UAGGGAAUAUUGGGCAAUGGAGGGAACUCUGACCCAGCCAUGCCGCGUGCAGGAUGAAGGCGUUAUGCGUUGUAAACUGCUUUUUAUAUAGGAAGAAAUAGUCCUUGCGAGGAAAGUUGACGGUACUAUAUGAAUAAGCACCGGCUAACUCCGUGCCAGCAGCCGCGGUAAUACGGAGGGUGCAAGCGUUGUCCGGAUUUAUUGGGUUUAAAGGGUGCGUAGGCGGUUUAUUAAGUCAGUGGUGAAAGACGGUCGCUCAACGAUUGCAGUGCCAUUGAUACUGGUAGACUUGAGUAUGAUUGAGGUAGCUGGAAUGGAUAGUGUAGCGGUGAAAUGCAUAGAUAUUAUCCAGAACACCAAUUGCGUAGGCAAGUUACUAAGUCAUAACUGACGCUGAGGCACGAAAGUGUGGGUAUCAAACAGGAUUAGAUACCCGCGUAGUCCCUGAGCGGGCUGGCAAGGCGCAU